UGGGGAAUUUUGGACAAUGGGCGAAAGCCUGAUCCAGCAAUGCCGCGUGUGUGAAGAAGGCCUUCGGGUUGUAAAGCACUUUUGUCCGGAAAGAAAUCCUUGGCUCUAAUACAGUCGGGGGAUGACGGUACCGGAAAGAAUAAGCACCGGCUAACUACGUGCCAGCAGCCGCGGUAAUACGUAGGGUGCAAGCGUUAAUCGGAAUUACUGGGCGUAAAGCGUGCGCAGGCGGUUUGCUAAGACCGAUGUGAAAUCCCCGGGCUCAACCUGGGAACUGCAUUGGUGACUGGCAGGCUAGAGUAUGGCAGAGGGGGGUAGAAUUCCACGUGUAGCAGUGAAAUGCGUAGAGAUGUGGAGGAAUACCGAUGGCGAAGGCAGCCCCCUGGGCCAAUACUGACGCUCAUGCACGAAAGCGUGGGGAGCAAACAGGAUUAGAUACCCUGGUAGUCCACGCCCUAAACGAUGUCAACUAGUUGUUGGGGGAUUCAUUUCCUUAGUAACGUAGCUAACGCGUGAAGUUGACCGCCUGGGGAGUACGGUCGCAAGAUUAAAACUCAAAUGAAUUGACGGGGUCAUAGCUGUUUCCU
RNAcentral lists this ribosomal RNA (587 nucleotides) under uncultured bacterium. Its description in RNAcentral is "partial 16S ribosomal RNA". It matches the Rfam family "Bacterial small subunit ribosomal RNA", at positions 355 to 1375 of the family's 1533-position model. The record is from RNAcentral.